RNAcentral lists this ribosomal RNA (497 nucleotides) under uncultured bacterium. Its description in RNAcentral is "partial 16S ribosomal RNA". It matches the Rfam family "Bacterial small subunit ribosomal RNA", at positions 28 to 507 of the family's 1533-position model. The record is from RNAcentral.
GAUGAACGCUGGCGGCGUGCCUAAUACAUGCAAGUCGAGCGAACAGACGAGGAGCUUGCUCCUCUGACGUUAGCGGCGGACGGGUGAGUAACACGUGGAUAACCUACCUAUAAGACUGGGAUAACUUCGGGAAACCGGAGCUAAUACCGGAUAAUAUAUUGAACCGCAUGGUUCAAUAGUGAAAGACGGUUUUGCUGUCACUUAUAGAUGGAUCCGCGCCGCAUUAGCUAGUUGGUAAGGUAACGGCUUACCAAGGCAACGAUGCGUAGCCGACCUGAGAGGGUGAACGGCCAAACUGGAACUGGAACACGGUCCAGACUCCUACGGGAGGCAGCAGUAGGGAAUCUUCCGCAAUGGGCGAAAGCCUGACGGAGCAACGCCGCGUGAGUGAUGAAGGUCUUCGGAUCGUAAAACUCUGUUAUUAGGGAAGAACAAAUGUGUAAGUAACUAUGCACGUCUUGACGGUACCUAAUCAGAAAGCCACGGCUAACUACGUG